ACAUGUAUAAUUACCUGUGUUCCACUGUUUGGACUUAUUUUUGCUUUAUUGUUAAGACCACGUAUCCUUUGUUUAAGUAAUGGUCGCCUCCCAUAAUGCAUUGUGCUGUGUGUUUACGAAGUUUAACGAGCGCUAUUUUUUCAAUUAUAAUUUAUUGUUAAAGCUUACAUAGAUAUUCAAUGAUUAUACUAGAAAUAAUUAGAUUAAAAAACAAAUGUUUCCUUCAGUUUUUAUCAAUUUCUCGUAAGCAUGAAAAUAUUGUGGGGGAACUAUAGAGCAUCCCGUCACGUUUUUCAUUGGUUGCUGUAAUUUACACGACGUAAAUGAUUGGUCGCGUUUCAUGAUGUCAUUUUACUACGUAUAUAACCAGCAGUUGUAGCAGACAACACAGAUUUAGGUAGAUUUUGGCUGAUUUACGGGUUGUAGGAAGGUGUGUUAUUUUAUUUAAUUAAUUUUCAUUACAUUUAUUUUGGGAAGAGUUUUAAUAGAUUGGGAAUAGAAUUGGUAUUGGUUUGUUACAGAGUAAGUUGAUAACAGCUAUCUGCUGAGCUGUUUAUUGUAAUUUACCAGUCUGAAAUUACUCAGUGAUUUCUUUAGUUUUUCAAACUACCACCCCUCCUUUUGAAUUUGGAAAAAUUAGCGACAUUUUCCUCAAAUUGGGAAAAAUCAUUCAUAGUAAAUUAAAAUGGUAAAGAUGCAUAUAAAAUAACCAAAUAACAAUUUUUUUGGCUUGAGGUUUAUUUCAGAUCUGAUUUAAAAUCAUAAAAUAAUUCAUUACUUAACAUUAAAUAUGUAUUGGAAGUCACACCUUGUAUAGAUAUUAUUUACUUUUUCUAAGAAAUACUUAUUGUCUAAUUUCAUAAAGAAAAUAAUAAAUUAUUAAUUCACCAGCAUUUGUACCCAUAAUCUUGUAAAUAUUAUAUUAAUAAUCAAGUUUCCAGAAUGUCUCUCCUGUUUUAUAUUUUUCGGAUUUUAGUAAAACCCUAUACUGUUGGCCACUUCCUGUUAUUAGCCUGACCUUACAUACAAUGGCGGUCAAACUAAAUUGUAAAUAAUAUGGCUUAAUGUGCAUCUGGAAACUAUAUACUUCGCUGCAUAUCUGCUUACAUAUGGAUGCCUCUAUUGUUUUACAUAUUCUUUACAAAACCUUUUGCAUGUGCAUGUGCAAUGGUUUGGAGAAUAAAACUGAAGAAAAAAACGUAUUUACUCUUUGUCAGAAAUAUACGGUAACCUUUUUUUUUAAAAUGGCCUAAUUUCCCUGGAUUUGAAAUUGGGAAAAACAUAUGUAUAUAAUUGGGAAAAAAUAGCUAAUUUUAGUGAGGGGAAACAGCCGAAUAUCGGUGGCAUUUUGGCCCCCCCAAAAAUCACUGUUAAUGGAAUUAUUUACGGAAAUUUUUCCGUUGCCAUUACAAUUGAAUUACUGGUUAAAUCUACCAGUUAGAGAACAAUAAUAAGACAGAAUACUUAGGUUCACAAGGAUUUAUUUGAAAUUAUUGAUUUAUAGAAAUAAAAUGUGUUCAGAAUAAACCGUUGAUUUGUUAAUUUUACAAGACUUGUCUUCUAUUUUCUCUAACCUUAAAUUUGGAAGUGGAGAGAAAAGAAAUAAUUUAGUUUUAUUAUCAUGAAGGACAACAGAGUAGUUUACUACUUGUCCAGUUGUCACGAACCAGAUGGUGUUGCGACCACCCAGCGUCGAGCAAAAGACGGGACUGUGCAAGAGCUUCCAUGCACGCCAACAGUUGAAGUGUAUGCCCAAUAUAUGGGAGGAGUUGACCGCCUGGAUCAGAACACCAGAAUCAACAAAAAAAAAAAAACUAUGCGCUGGCACAGAUGGAUAGAAGCAAAACUUAGAGAGUGUGCAUUGUAUAAUGCAUAUGUCAUUGAGGGAACUGUUGUGAAUCAUUUUCCGCCAAACAAACGGAAGCGUGACCUGCUCUCUUUCCGGAUGGACGUAGCACAUCAACUAAUUGGAGGCUUCCGACAAGCCAGAAAGUCCUUCAAACGUCCACGGACAAUUUCAAAUGGUGAAGAUGAGCGCCUUCAUGAAAAGGGACACUGGCCUGUUCCCAGUGGCAGUGCUGAUAGACUUUGUGUUGUUUGCUUGAAGAAGCAUAAGAACUAUGCUUCAAGUCAUCCAGGUAUCUCAGUUAAAGACAAUCCUUACAAGUGUAGUAAAACAACGAUGAUGUGUGAGAAGUGUUCCGCUCCUCUGUGUUGUAACUCCAAAAGCACCUGCUUCCGUGACUACCACAAAAAACUCUAUUACUGGCAGUGAUUUUACCUAUUACACCAGGUCCUGUAAAAUGACUUUUUGGUUAAUUUCCACUAAGAGACUGGUAUAAUUAACAUUACAAUAACUGUUGUUUUUAUGUAUGCUUGUUUGUAAAUAAUUAAAAUAAUCAUAAACACUAAACGAGUUUUUACCUCAUCUACCUGUUAUCUAACGACAGGUAGAUAAAUGGGAAGGAAGAAACUGAGUAUGCUGAUAAACUUAUUUCACUUGGAAGUGAUCAUAUGGAAAGUUGAGCCAGAUAGUGAAAUUCAGCAAUCUACCUGAUUAUUUACCUGUUCACACCUGAACUUAGACAUAUAUACAAAAUAUAUUUCAGUUAUAUUGAAGUUGAGACUUUUAUCUUUCCAUUGAUACCUAGUUUGUUGAAAUACAUGAAAUACAUAAAAAGUUAUCAGUGUUUAAGUAACUGCCCCAUUUAUUUGUAAUUAAGUUCCCCAAAUUAAGUUACUUAGUGUUGGGGGUAUUUAGCUCUUACAGUUACUUAGUGUUGAAAGAGUUAAAACAUAGAUCUCCCUCCCCCCCCCCCCCCUCAUUAUCCAACAUUGACAUUUGGGACUAAAGGAAAUAUAUUUUCCUAAUUUACGGGGACUGAUGUUCUCUUGAGAAGGAUUUGAAAUCCUUGUUUUACAUCUAUUCCCGUUACAAUAUAUAAAGUCUCUUUUUUUCGAAGUAAAAUCUUAAAAAACUUUCUAGAAAUAUUUCUUCUUCAGUCGUGUUUAUCUGCCAUUGCAAUGCAAUGGAAGACUACAUACACAAAAGUACUAUGACGUCACAGUAAGUAUUAAACAAUUGAAAAGUAAUGUCAAAGUUGAUAUUGCCCGAAAAACAACUCAAUUGUGCCUUUAAAAUAUUUUCUAAGACUCAAGUCGGCGACUGGUGAUGACAGAGGUCACAGUCACAACAGGGGUCAUAAGCAAAAGAAGAGGAGAACACGACUGAUUGAUGUUUUCUGCCACACUCAACAAUUUUUCAGUUAUCUGGUGGCGCCCAGUUUUUAUUGGUGGAAGAGAGAACCCAGAUACAAUGUAACUGGGAAGAGACCAGUUUUGAAAUUUUUUUUUCAAAGUGUUCAAAUUUUUAAACAGGGUUUCUGGUGAAUGACAUCAAAGUAAGAGCCAUCCUGCUAAAUGCAGUGUUUGAUGCCCCAGCAAGGUGCCUUUUCCAAAAUAUGACGCAAUUCAAUGGAUUUUAUGGCUGGGGAUCCCUAUUGCCAUGUCCAAGGCAAGAGUGUCCAGACAAGUGAAAGGGGUCAAAGUUUAUCCAUUCAACCAAUGGAUAUCAUGAUGCCAGAACUCUGAAUUCCAUUACCAUGAAUGCCAGGGAAGCAGAAGAGAGGAAAGCUAAUGGAAUUAGACAACAUAGUGUCCUAGGAGUCAAGGGGCGAACUUGGUUUCAUUACCUGCAACACUUUAAUAUUGUCUGUGGUGUUUCUGUUGACUACAUGCACUGUGUAACGAAUACUUGAUGUUGUGAAAAUGAUCAUGUCGCUGUGGUUUGAUAAAACUCAAAAGAUUGAAGUGUUCAGCAUACACUCGAAGAUAAGUGAAGUUGAUGGACGAUUGCUGUCGAUAAAACCACCCAGCUUCGUUCCAAGAUUUCCACGGACAGUGAUGGACUUGGCCCACUACAAGGCAGCAGAUCUCCAGAACUUCUUGAUCUUUUACAGUCUUCCUUGUUUGCUUGGGAUACUUCCAGAUGACCAAUUUCACCACUUCUCGCUCCUAGUGUAUUCCAUCUACACACUACUUCAACAGAAAAUUUCACCCAGUGAUUUAAAGCAGUGUCGGUACAUGCUACCGGUAAUUGAGUUUGUGCUCAACAUACCAGUGUUUUAUGGGGAGCGUUACUCCACAUCGAACACCCACCUUCCAUUUGGUGGAGAAAGUGGAGGACCAAGGCCCACUAUGGAGUAAUUCCUGUUUUUACUUCGAGGACUUCAAUGGUCAGCUAAGAAGACUAUUUCAUGGGACCCAAAAUAUUGACUGUCAGAUGUUGAAAUCAUAACGGUAUGGUAGCAGCGAACUGAACUUGAUGAGUAAACUUCUGGACAAGAAAGUUGAUGCAUCAAAAGAACAAAUUCAAGAUGGCAUUUCUAUGGUUCGUGGAUGUUACAGCAGGCGACUUUCAGAAAAGGAAGAACAUGCAAUAUUUUUAGUGUUUGGAGAAUUCCAAUGCAUUUCGUUUUUCAAACGUUUGCAUAUUUGUCAUCAAAUUGUGCAGAGCAAGGAGUAUAGAAAUACAACUAGAGGAGACAAUAGUGUUGUGAAGUGGAAGGAGAAUUAUCUGCACAAGUUCAAGUUUUUGUCAAGGUCAUGAUAUGUGAUAUAUGCGAAUUAUUUGCGAUAGUGAAGAUGAUGAACUAUGUAGACAAUGUGUUGAUGAGAACUGAUUCCCUGAGUUCGAGCAGGAAAUUUCAUAUGGUUCCUGUAGCACCACCUACCAGACAACUCAGAGCAGUGCCUGUGACUCAGAUUACUGAUGUAUGUGUGUGCAUAGGAAUUGAUAAUGACCUCUGUUUUGUUAUGCAAAAUACCUACUUCAAGCAAAAGCAGAUGUCCAAUGAGUCAUACAGCAACCAGAACCAGGUGUCUUGUAAUCCCCGCAACCACCAAAACCAGAUUCCAUCCACACCCAGAACUACACCUUGUACCAAAAUCAGAUAUGCAACACACCAGAGGUUAAUAGAUGGCUACAUGAUGGAAUCAAUCCUUACAGGGGUAGCUUUGAAUUAACUGAGGAGGAUGCAUGCAGCACAACUCCAUAUACCAUGGGUGACUGCUCCAGAAAUAUGCAGAAAGAUCAACAGGUGUGCCAAGAGUGCAUUAAGCUAAAAGAAGAACUAGAGAAUGCCAACAUGAGGAUUAAGCGUUUGGAGGAAGAGCUAAAUGAAACUUCGUCAGAAGAAGGUGGAAAUGGUGCCCGGCAGUGGGAUUUUUGUCCGGGCCUCAUACCUAGAAGAAAACGAAAGUUUCGUCAACAGCAGCUGCGAGAUUUCUUCUUUCGUGUGUAAUAAGCCAUGAAGACAUCGUAAAGGCUGGCAGCAUAAAGGCUGUCAGCAAGGAUUUGCUAAAAUCCAUUGCCUGUAAGCCUUUUUUCAAGCUAAUUUAAUUAAUAUAUGAUUAUGUUGAACAAACUUUUUGUACUUGUACUGAACAUUGUAUCGUACUAAAAUUUCAAAUGGGUCUUUGUGGCUGAGUGUUAAAAACAUCAUUCUUUCAAUUGGAGAGCCUAGCUUAUCUCCAGUAUGUGUGAGUUCAAGUCCUGCUUGCACACCUUGUGCUAUAUGUAAGAGUAUUUGUAAGUUUACUUACAGAAGGUGGGGUUUCUCCCAAUAUUGGAUCUUUCCUCCACCAAUAAAAAAUGGAUGCUGUUUAAUAUUGUAUAACUGACAUAUUGUUGAAUGUGACCAAAAUCAACAAAUUAAUAUUUCAUGAUUUUAUGAGAAGUGUAAUUCUGAAUAUUAAACCAUUAUUUCGUCUCUGAUUCUGUCCCAGUUUUAAUAUUAAGUAUGUCCAAUGAGAUGGCGUUUUUUGCAUUAACUUGGGCAACUUUUGAUUAAACAAGCACAUGUUACUUAAUUACUAUCAGAUAUGUAUAUAGUGAGUUCAGGCACAUUUUAGCAUCAUUUUUUAAAGGUUUCAUUGUGCAUUGUCUCUUAUUGUGUAUGUUUUUCUUUUAAUUUUUCAGUGUAUGCAUCCAGAGAUAACAGAACUGAAUUUUCUUAGUGCAAAAUGGCAUAAAAUCUCUGCCAUAUUAUCAAGAUCCAAAACAGGGAGGGGGGGGGGGGGGGGGGGGGGGAAGAAAGAUCCAGAUGCAAAAGAAAAGCAAAGAAUUUAUUUUCAGCGAAUCUGAAAGCAGUACUGAUAGUGACUUGACAUUUCGAAAGGUUCAAGUGAGCUUUUCUGAUCGCUUUUUGUCCGUCGUCUGUCUGUCUGUUAAACUUUUCACAUUUUCGACUUCUUCUCCAGAACCACUGGGCCAAUUUCAACCAAACAUGGCCAAAAGCAUCCUUGGGUGAAGGGCUUCCAAGUUUGUUCAAAUGAAGGGCCAUGUCCCUUUCAAAGGGGAGAUAAUCACAAAAAUGCAAAAUAGGGUGGGGGUCAUUUAAAAAUCUUCUUCUCAAGAACCACUAAGCCAGAAAAGCUGAGAUUUACAUGAAAGCUUCCUGGCAUAAUGCAGAUUCAAGUUUGUUCAUAUCAUGGGCUCCGGGGGUUGGAUGGGGCCACAAGGGGGAUCAAAGUUUUACAUACAAAUAUAUAGGAAAAAUCUUCUUCUCAAGAACUACUGAGCCAGAAAAGCUGAUUCUUACAUGAAAACUUUCUGACAAAGUGCAUGAUUCAAGUUUGUUCAAAUCAUGGCCCCCGGGGGUAGGAUGGGGCCACAAGGGGGAUCAAAGUUUUACAUAAAAAUAUAUAGUUAAAAUCUUUUUCUCAAUAACCACUGAGUCAGAAAAGCUGAUAUUUACAAGAAAACUUUCUGAUAUAGUGCAGAUUCAAGUUUGUUCAAAUCAUGGCCCCCGGGGGGUAGGAUGGGACCACAAGUGGGGUAUGUGUGUGUGUGUUAAAGUUUUACAUACAAAUAUAGGAAAAAGCUUUAAAAAUCUUCUUCUCAAGAACCAUUGGGCCAAAGAAGUUGACAUUUACACGAAAGCUUUCUGACACAGUGUAGAUUCAAGUUUGCAAAGGGUAGUUUGGGCCAUAAUAGGGACUAAGGUUUUACAUGCAAAUAUAUAUGGAAAGUCUUCAGAUAUGGGCCAAGGUGACUCAGGUGAGCGAUGUGGCCCAUGGGCCUCUUGUUUUUAAUGAACUCAAAAUCUUUCAAUAAUUUCUUUGCACUGUUAUGAUUUGUUUUAUUCAUCCAUUGUAUGUUGUAGAAGUUUGUUGCCUCAAAUAGAAAGUAUAUUUUAUGAAGAUCGAGUGCUAAUCCUGUUGAUUUUAAUAAAUUUUCAUUGAUUUCUGUAGAAAGCUUUUUCUUUGUCCCAUUAAGGUAGCUAUAUUAUUUUGGUUCUGGAAAGAUUUGAAUGGAUCCUUCUGUACACCUCCUUCUGCAAAAAUAGUACUGUGGUUUCAUCCUGUUCCAAGAAAUGGUACCCAGAAAGUACUGAAAAUUGUAUCCAGAAAGUACUGAAAACGGUAUCUAAAAUGUACCCGAAAAGUACUUAAAAUGUACCCAGUUUGUACCCGAAAAGUACCUAAAUUGGUACCUGGAUUGCACCAAGAAUGUACCUUAAAUGGUACCCGGAUUCUACCCGAAAAGUACCUAAAUUAGUACCCGGAUUGCACUGAGAAUGUACCUGAAAAGUACCUUUAAAUGGUACCCGGAUUCUACCCGAAAAGUACCUAAUUUGGUACCUGGAUUGUUCCUAAAAUGUACCCUGAAAGUACCUACAUUGGUACCUGGUUUGUACCAAGAAUGUACCCGAAAAGUACCUAUAAUAUGGUACCAGAAUUGUAUCUAAAAUGGUACCCAGAUUGUACCUGAAAAGUACCUAAUUUGGUGCCCGGAUUGUACCAAGAAUGUACCCGAAAUGUAUCUCCAAAAUGUGAAAGAACAAUGUACCCGAAAAAGUACCCGUCUGCAGCUAAAAAUAUUUUUAAAGUGCGGUUCCAAAAAGGGUAGACUUUUGGGUACCCUAUAGGUACAUUCUGAGUACCUUUUGGAUACUUUCUGGGUACUUUUUAGUGUACCCGAGUCGUACCUAAAAUGUGUACCCAAAAACAUUGUACCCAGAAGGUACCCUAAAAAUUGAAACUUGGAAAGUUGGAAUUAAUAAGGUACCCAAAAGGUACCCCCGAAAAUUAUAACUUAGACAGUUGCUUGGGAAAGAAUAAUGUACCCGAAAAAGUACCCGCCUGCAGCUAGAAAUAUUUUCAGAGUCCGGUUCCAAAAAGGGUAUACUUUUAGAUACCUUUUAGGUACAUUCCAGGUACCUUUUGGGUACAUUCCGGGUACUUUUAGGUGUACCCAAAGAGUACCCGAAAAGUACCCAAAGUGUAACCAAAAUGUACCUUUUUUCUGUAUGGGUGGUGUCGAAAAAAUGACCAUGCUGCACCAAGCGAGCAAACGCUGAAUAGUGCUAUAACAGAACGAAUUUGCUAUGCAAGAAAACAAUGUGUUAAACAAAUGACUCUGUGAUUUAUAGUUGUGUACCAGUAACAUAAUAAAUGUAUAUAAUAUUGCGGAAUAAAUUCCAAACUGUAAAUAUUGGUUUCUAUCUUAUUUAUUAUUACCACCACCAUACUAUGAUAUAUGUUUACCAUUUACAGGUAUGAAUAGUAACCUCUGAUGAUCAAAUGUAUAUUAUACGAGUACCAUUAUAUAACAUGGUUCGAGACAACUGAAUUGAUUAUAACGAUGAAGAUCAGGAUUUUCAUUGUAGUAUUCAUGAAGCAAUUAUCAAGUCAUUUCGAACAUUGAUUUAAAUGUAGCUUAAUCGUAUUUAAGGACUUUAUUCUGAUGACAUAGGUAUUUAGAGAAUUUAUAUAUAUACCAAGACAGAUGACCUAUGCAUCCAGAGACAUGUACAAAUACUUCGACAGUGAUAUUCCUUCCAUAGGUCGACCCAUCAAUUUGUGAAGUAAACAUUCAUGCACACAAUAGGAAUGCAUCCGUAAACAAAUACAUCAGGAAUGCAUCAGGGAUGAAACACCGGACACAUUAAACCAGACUGAUACCUGGCAUGCAGCAAAGUCUGUGGAGAGAUCAGCCAUCAAGAGUCAGAAAGGGAUCAAUAAGGCAACACCAGUAGCAUGAGGAAAUAUCUGACAAGAUACAUUUUGUCAGUGCUCUUUCAAAAAUGGCCCAUUCUUUUUGACAUUUUGACUUGUCAAUAUGGGAAAACGUAAACUUGUAGCUUCUGACCUUAGUCAGUCUAAAAUUAAAAAAUUGUCUGUUUGGCUUUAUUUCCAAUUCAGGGUCUGAACAUUCAACCCCACUUGCUCGAACAUCUGAUUCUGUCCAAAUCGCAAAACCUUCCACAUAAAAACGUAAAUUUAACAUCAGCUGGAGAUUUAAUAGGGAAUGGUUGAGAUACGACUCUAAAUUGGGCUUGAUGUUUUGUGACAUCUGCAUUUCAGCCAAUGUACACAAUGUUUUCACUGAGGGGUGUAGCAUCAUGAAGAAAGACAAUGCAGACAAAUAUGAGAAGGGAACAGGUGCUUAUGUUUCUAUUACAUCUUUUACACAUUUUCAUGUUAUUUUUUUUAUUAUGCUAAAACUCAGAAUUCUUCACAAAAUAUCAAUUCAAUAAUUAAGGUGACAAUAGCCACUGUGCAGUCUAAAUAUAUCCACCAACCCUAUUAAUUUUUUCAAUUUUCCGAUUUCAAUUUAUCGAUGUACGAAUUAUUACCCGAAAUCAUUUUGGUAAUUAAGAGUUAACAAUACUGACAACAACAAUGGCGGCACAUCUUUUAGAAGCUGCUUCGGUGUCAGUAAUAAGGUUACAUAAAUGCCAGCAUCAGAACCCCAUAAAUAUUAUGAUAACUGUCUUGCACAAAUCAAUAUUAAGUGACCUAUUUAAGGCGAACCACCUGCAGAACCGGAAGGCGGGCAGUGUCUGUGCGGACGUGAAGUGAGGGCUAGCAAAAACGAGACCCUGUUCGUAGGCGAAUGUUUUUAUUUUUUAUCUCGCACUUGAUCCAGUAGCAGUUCCUGCGACAUAUGAAGAAAAGUUUAAUGAUCCAUCACUCGUUUCAACCCAAAAUGCAGGUGCACUGGUAACUAAUAUGUACAGAUGUGUUCAAAGCCAUGAGUCAUUCAAAAACGAAAUUAACUUAACACCUAAACUUUACUUCAUACAAUGUUUAUAUAUAUAUUAUUUCUAGUAUAUACUCCCAACCCAAAACUUUUUUUUGACUAUUUCCAAAAUCAGUUACCGUAUUUUGUCAAAUGAAAUAGACUUUGUUUUAUGAGAAGGGGUGCAUAAUAUAUACAUGUACCACAAUACAUACAAGUUUUUUAUCCAUUUUCAUUCAGUUGAAGCUUGACUAUAAGUUCAUUCAUAGCUAAUAUAUAGAUAAUGUUUUUAAUGCUAAGUUGUAAACACUACAGGCCAUCUAACAUUAGACAGAAAGUGACUUAGAACUAUAAGAGUGCUUACAUAAACAAUAGUGCAAUUUUCAGGUUGUUUAUUUUUGAAAAAGCUGGAUAGAUUUCAAAGCUUGGAAGGGAUUGAAAACAGUACGCUGGUUGAAAUAUCAUUUCCUACUUUCAUGUUUAACAACAUGAUUUUGACAAAAUGAAAAGCACUGGUGUUUUUUUUUCUGUGUUUAAUUUUUUAUUUGCAUACAAAUAUAUAAAAAUUGUCAAAACUAGUAGGGUGAUCCCUACCAAUUUUGAUUGGUAUAUAUAUCACACCAUAUAUAAAUGGUACAUGCAAAGAAGUGAAAUCAAAAGGAAAACGUGCUUCCAUCUUAUGAUCUAUUGUAAAAUCUCACAUAAUAAAAAAUAAAACCCCAACCUACCUACCCUACUUUUCAAGGGAGUGUAACUGUAACCACACAUAUUAUUUUAUCUGGCCUUAGUGAAUUUACUACAAUUGAUUGUAAGCUUUUGUCUAUUUCAGAAAACAAAGCAGAAAAAGAAAAAAAGAGGGAAGUGAAUAAGAGGAAAAGAGAGAUUGGCUUGAAGAAGAAUGCAGAUUUUCUACAAUCGCUACACAUCUUUAAGCAUCAGGUAAUACCUUUAUCAAGCUUGUUUUAACACAAGAGGGGCAUAAACAAAUUUAUACAUAUUUUUGGUCACUUUCGCUAUCCAUAUGGAAUGUUGGUUCCCCAUUUAUUUAAUUCAGUCUUACAUUUGACAGUAGAAAAUUAAUUUUAUUUAAAGAAAAGAAAAAGUACUACUUUAAUGAUUCAGUUUCUUUACUAAUGACUGGAAAAAGGGGGAGGGGACUGGUUAUUGUAAUCAUUGGUUAUUUUGAGGUCUGAGAAUUUACAUACAUUAGGUAUUUUUGGGCAUAUUGUUCAAACUUUUGUAUUAAUAUUAAUCAUUUGCUGAAAAAAAAAAAAUCAAAUGAGGGAAAAUGUUGGGGAGAUAUAUUUGUAAUUCUAUCGUACUAAUUUUGUAGACCUCUUCCAAGAACCAACUGGAUCAGUCAACUGAACCUCCCUACGAGUCUCGGUUCCCUUCUUCACAACAUCCAAAGAACACUUACCAACCAGAUCCGUCUCUGAGUAAGACAUUCCAUCCAUUUCGACCAUAUUUAGAUGCACAGCAACAACACCAGUUACUGCCUUUAGAUGGUCAGCUUGUUGAACAACAUCAGUCAAACCCCUACCCACCAACAAUUUCAUCAACACUUGGUAAACUCACUGCAGCAUUUUGAUAUGAGCCACAGCUACCCACAGCUGCAUUUCUAUCAGAACCAGAGCACCUCCCAGCAGCAACAAUUCCAUCAGAGCCAGGGCAACCAUCAGCAACAGGAACAUGUCCAGCCCCGACCAUCAUCAGAAGUACAGAGUAGCAGUGCACAAGAAGGCCAAUUCCAGAAAGUUUAUUACUACGAUUCAGACCAAAACCCUGCUCCACUACAGCCACGCUUUAGACGGUUUGGACAGCCACCAAAUCACUAGUUAGGUCAGGUGAACACCAGUACACUUAUUCAACAGCAACAACCAUUGAAAAAGAAGCCAUCAACCAGUCUUCCUCUUGCAGAGAUUCCAUGGAUAGCUGAUGAGAUUUUUCAAGGAGACCAAGUGCUUGAGGACUUCUUGGAUAGAACAAAUGUUCCGAACAGUACAGAUGGGGUACAUUAUAUAUGUGAUAGACUGACAUGUGUGCUUUAAUAUUUUAUUGAUCACCAAAAGAAAAUGGGCAAUGACUUCUACAUUAUUUUUGAGAAUGAGCCCAUUCCACUGAAACAUUUUAAAGUUUUACUUUCAGUAUAAUUAUUCUUUCUGUAUGCUCAUGUCUUGCUUACUUUUAACAGAUGGGGGAGCCAAAAACAAUGCACUGUAAUAAUAAAGGAAAGGGAGUUAAGAGUAAAGAAGCAGCUUUCGAAAGCUCAGGAGGAACUUGAGCUUCAUAAAUAUACUAUUAAAUUAAUUUAAUGAUUAUUAAUUUACACUUCUCUGCCCCAUUCGCUUUUUGGUAACUAUGCCUAUCGUCUACAUUUAUCAACCAAUCAAAUGUUGUCUUUUAUUAGUAUCAUGUUACUAUUUCGAUCUAUCUAGGACACCCCCCCCCCCCCCCUAGGGACAAUUGAUUGCGCCCUCUAGGGGGAUCCCCCUUUCUACCAAUCAUAUUUAUUAAUUAUCUUAUUUCAAAUCAUAACAAUUUAAUCAUCCAAUCAACGUUCAUAAAUUUUCCUACUUCGGCAUUUCAAAUUCUAGUUAAGCGUCACUUUAGAAAAUUUCACGAAGGGCAGAGGCCACGCAACCUUUAUCAGCAAGGCCACGCAGUCUAGGCCGUUUUUAUAUCACAAAUUUUCCAAACAAGGAAUUAUUGCAAUGUGUUUAUAAUACUAAUUUUUUUUUGUUGGUAUACGUCGACUUACAUGCAGACUUGUACCGCCAUGGACAUACAUGCUUUCUUUGACAUUCCGUCGUGGUACUUAACUUUUCCCAAGGAAGAAGAGAGUUUAUACUGUAUCAUGGUAGACUCAGACUUUGAUGCUGCGGAAGCACGCUUUAUUAUUAUCCUUGAAUGUGGAGCUAUGUGCGACGCAUGUAUUUUAUGUGCACCAGAACUUUUUGAACCGCUGCCACGUUGUGAUGAGUUUGCCAUUUCCCGUUGUGAUUACAUCUAAUACAGACAUCGUGCAAUGAUGACGGAUAAUACUUGUAGCGAAGAAAACGAAGUUUUAUUGACAGUCGGAGAAGACGCCAUUAAAAAAUGGGCCAACGUUAAACGAAUUUCACCCCACAGCGCGGAAUGUCUUCUGGACAUGGGCUUCAACAGUAUGGAGGCCCUGUCGCUUCUCACACCCAGUGACCUGGAAGAGUCCCCUAUCCCACUGGGACAGCGUAAACUACUUAUCCAUAGUGUAAAACAGACAUUUCCGAGAGGAAUGGCGGCAGCAACAUCCACCGACCGCAUGGGUACGCCAAUGGAGGACCGCGGGGGACAAAAUAAACCGGCCGAGGACACCUCUGACGCCAGUUUCAUCCGGGACAUUAUGGGGCAGCUGCACCAGGCACAGGGACAACCACGUCCAACGACGCAGCCCAUGCAAGCCUCUAAUGGUAUGUA
This is a long non-coding RNA of Ostrea edulis (European flat oyster), 13483 nucleotides long. RefSeq lists it as uncharacterized. NCBI's taxonomy places the organism in Eukaryota, Metazoa, Mollusca, Bivalvia, Ostreida, Ostreidae. The transcript is spliced from 4 exons. The record is from RefSeq and is a predicted model, not a curated record.